CCUACGGGAGGCAGCAGUGGGGAAUAUUGGGCAAUGGGCGCAAGCCUGACCCAGCAACGCCGCGUGAAGGAAGAAGGCUUUCGGGUUGUAAACUUCUUUUAAGAGGGAAGAGCAGAAGACGGUACCUCUUGAAUAAGCCACGGCUAACUACGUGCCAGCAGCCGCGGUAAUACGUAGGUGGCAAGCGUUGUCCGGAUUUACUGGGUGUAAAGGGCGUGCAGCCGGGAAGACAAGUCAGAUGUGAAAUCCCGCGGCUCAACCGCGGAACUGCAUUUGAAACUGUUUUUCUUGAGUACCGGAGAGGUAAUAGGAAUCACUGGGGGAGCGGGGGAAGGAGUAGAUAUAAGGAAGAA
RNAcentral lists this ribosomal RNA (353 nucleotides) under uncultured bacterium. RNAcentral's name for it is "partial 16S ribosomal RNA". It matches the Rfam family "Bacterial small subunit ribosomal RNA", at positions 338 to 706 of the family's 1533-position model. The record is from RNAcentral.